Molecule: non-coding RNA, 21 nt
Filed under: Rattus norvegicus (Norway rat)
Lineage: Eukaryota; Metazoa; Chordata; Mammalia; Rodentia; Muridae
Source: RNAcentral
CAAACUUACUUGUAGGGUAGC